CCGGCCCCGCCGCCAUGAUGGCGCGGUUCGACCCCUCCGCCUCAGCCCCAUCGCGGAUUCCAACCCCUGCCUCCUUCUGCCCGCCGAGCUCCCGGGCCGGCGGCGGGAGAGAGACGCCAGGGCGGCGGAGAGCUGCCCCUGCCUCGCCUGAGGCUGCCGUCCCCUCAGGGGCGCCAUGGCGGAGCCCGCCUGAGGGAUCCGUGGCCUCUGAGAGAGAUCCAUCCCCUCUGGGGCGCCGUGGCAGAGCCCUCCAGCUGCGGUGUGCGGGAGCACCACACUCCUCGCUUCUGUUCUUCGUGGGCUUACAAUACUUGCAAGCACAGGGCAAGAGCUCUGCUCGUAACUUAUAAUUUAGAAGUUUAUGUGCUGCUCUGCAGGGACUGCAGCGUGUCAGCGUAACCCGAAGUCCAUCCCAAAUUGUUCAGCUUCAGGGCCAUACACCCAGAAAAGACGAGAAUUAUUUUAAACACUAUCCAUCACGGCUACUCUUUCAUAUAAAAUAAAGUGUUUUUUCAAGGGCCACAUCUGUUUUGCACAAGUAGGAAAACAAGGCCACGUGAAGCAAAGGUGUUUGCCCCCUGCUAGUGGUGGAAUUGGGGGCAAAAAGCACAAAAAACUCACUUCUGGCUCAUUGGACCAGCCAGGCAUUCUGAAACUUGGCUGUAGAUGAGCUUUGGGGGGGAUUUCUCUUACUUUUCUUUCAUAAAUCACACGUACAGGUUGCUCCUUGCACUGUGGUUGCUGUGUUCUGUGCCGGUGGUGGGAAGAUACAAGGCUUGCAGGAGAUAAUGGGACAGACUAGCAGAGGAUACUGGAAAUAAAAAACAAAAGAAGAGCAGAAAAUCCCUCAAAACCAGAUUUUCAUCUUUCUGCAGAGUCCUCAGCUUCCAAUCCAGAGAUCUCUUCAGGCCCAGAUGUGCCCACAGCAGGGUGGACUGAGGGGUGGGUGCAGCAUUGUGGUAACAUCCAAAACUGUCCUGAUUUCCUGGCUUUGUAUCCCUGAUCCUUUACCCUGCCCAGGUCAUUCUCAGCUGAUGGUUAACAAACAGACCCCAAGUCCUUUUAUUGCAGCUGUGACUCACUGAAAACAAGGAUCAGACACACCUUUUCCAUGAAAACCCUGCUGAACUGACUGCCCGAGCGCUUCAGGACUUGGAUGAGGAUCGUGGGCUUAGUGACUGCAGCUUCCCAGGGCUGAGGUCACGCGUGAGGAGCGUUUUUGGGCAUGUGCUGGUGCCGUACGUCAUCCUGGCUGCCCCUGCCUCUCCAAGGAUGCCGGAUUUGAUGUGCAUCAGAGAUUCCACUGCGCUGGAGAAUUUCCAUGGACUUCAGCACAAGGACAGAAAAUCUCGGAAACAAAACAAGCAAAGGGGAAGAAAAAAAACCACCAUAAUCAGCAGGAAAUUCAGGAGAGAGUUUCAGUUCUCAGAGAGUAGCAAAGAGGCACAAUGGCAGGUGGAGAACUACAUGAACCUAAUCAGAUAACAGAAUGGAGCCACUGAACAAUGGUGACACCGCCACGGUGAGUCACCAGAAAGGCUCUCUGGCUCAUACAGGCAAGUGCUGCACAGGUGACCCUUCCAGUUUUCAUCCUGAAGAGCCAGAAAAAGAUUAAACUGCAAAAUUAGUACUCUGAGGAACGAGAGGUGAAGGAAAAGCUUGUCAAAUCACGGAGCGACAUGCUCUGAGGGAUAAGAGUCAAAGGAAAAGCUGCUGAAACCAGAGAAAAAUGGGAUUUAAAAAAAAAAAGAAAAGAAAGAUCUCAGGGUAAUAAUAAUUAAAAAAAAAAAUCUAGAUGUGCUUUGUUAUGUAGCAGAAAGCUGACUUGACACAUCUCAACCCCAUGGGUAAUGGCAGCUUGGUUAUUCUGAGCCAUCUCCCAUCCUCCUCCUACAUGUCCAAAUAUUCCUGUCAGAACUGGUCAAAAUGUUUUAACUUGAUUUUUUUUUUUAUUUCGUUAUUUCUGAGCAGAAAUGUCUUUUCAUGCAAAACAAACAUUGUGACAGAAAGGGUAACUUUGGUCAGGAUGAUUUGUAAUGUAAACAAGGAGUCCAGUGAGAAAUAUCAUCAUGUUUGACAUCAGCUUUGUUAUGACAGAAAUCUGAAGUUUGUCUAACCUUAUUUUCUGCAGGAAAGGAGAUAGAGGGACAAAAAGAAAUCAAACUGCUUUUUUUUUAACUCCCCUCCCCCUGAGCCAACCCAAAAUUAUUUCUCUCAAUUGCAGAUUUUUCAUCCAUCUCAGCCACACCAUAAUGUUUUUCUCCACCCAAUUUUUUAGGGAACUGGGUCCAACAACUUAGUUUCCAGUUACAGACACACAAGAGCCAUUCCCUGACCUCGUUAUCCUGAGGAAAAGGAUAUUAUCCUGCUGCUUUUUUUGAGAGCAGCUCCAUCCAGCCACAGGCAGGAUGUGUGGGGACAGCUGUCCUGCGCUUCAGCUUGCUCUUGCAUGCUGUGAGUCCUGGCAGGGGGCUUCCGAGGGGCCCGGGGGAAAACCUGAACAUGUGGAGCAAUUUUCGGGAUGCAGAGGUGAGGCUGUGGGUGAUCCGUCAGGACUAGACGGCAGGUGGCACCCAUGGAUUAGCACAGGGCUCGCUCCAGCCAGGCUGGGCAGUGCCUGCAGCUGGGCUUCAGCUUCACCUUCCAUGAGCCACAACUGCAGGGAUUUGGGCUCUUUUGCUGCCAUGCAGGGACAUCCCUGUGUCCUGGGGCUACUCCCCACAGGCCAGACUAUUCCCAUCACAUUUUAUUUGCCUGGGGACUCAGCUUGGUUUUGGACAAGGGGGUGCCCACGGCAAUCAGGGGUGUUGUGCCAGGGCACUGCUCCCAACGGGAUGGGGAAGUAAAGGGAACACCGUGGCUGGCAGGGAAGGACCAGUCCCAGGGUACCUGAGUAAGGAGAGCAGGAGGCAGCUGGGGUCAGCCAAGAGUCCCUGUCAUCCUGCACAUUCACAGCAGUAGGGCAGGCUGGAGGAAUCAAUCCAUAGCUCAGGAUCAAUCCUGGUAUGGGCAGCCACAGCCAGGUGAUCCCUAGGCAGGUCCAAGGGGACAAAACAGAGCUGAGCUCAAGCUGGGAAAUCAGUCUAGAUCAGGAUUCACAUCAAUAGGGUCUAUAGCUGCAGGUAUAGCUGGGACUAAACUAGAGACCAGCACCCCAGAGAUGCAACUCAAACUGGGACCAGCCCUGGGCUGAGCUUAAAUGGGCUCCCAAGCUCAUGGGCAAGUGUGACUGGGAAUUCCAUCCCAGGCGGGGCUGCUCGGGGCUGUCAGUGCCUCCAGGACUUAUCCCCCAGCCUGCAGGCACUGGUUCCUCAAGAGGUAGAAGACCUUGUGCUGUCCUCAAAGUGCUGUUUUGUACAUCAAGGGACACCUCAGCGAGCCAUGUGGUCCCUUUUUUCCCCCAAGGAUAUAUUUGGCUGUGCCACCCUGGCCCUCUGCAGUGGAGGUCUCUUGGUUUGUUCAGCCUGGAGAAGAGGAGACUGAGGGGAGACCUCAGUGGGACCUUCAACAUCCUCAUAAGGGGCAGUGGAGGGGCAGCACUGAUCUCUGUGGGAUCCAGUGACCCGAGGGAGGUAAAGGGAAUGGCCUGAAGUUGUGUCAGGGCAGGUUUAGAUUGGAUAUCUGGAA
Long non-coding RNA from Corapipo altera (White-ruffed manakin), 3627 nucleotides. RefSeq lists it as uncharacterized. NCBI's taxonomy places the organism in Eukaryota, Metazoa, Chordata, Aves, Passeriformes, Pipridae. The record is from RefSeq and is a predicted model, not a curated record. The transcript is spliced from 3 exons.